CUUACUCUGCUUCAUUCUGGGAGAACUUCAUCUGUCCUUCAGCGCACCAAACUGCCUGCUGCUCACUUAUAAAGUGAUCUUACAGCACAUCAUCUGCUCAGGAUGAAGAUUGUGGUUCUUCAGGUCAUACUCUUCCUCUGUUUCUGCAGCAGAUCUCAACAAAAGCCCUGUACAAACAGAGCAGACCAAAAUAAAUAUGGCAAUUUUCAACAUCGUCAUCUUCUAACCCAAAACAUUAACAAUGUCAAUGGGUGGAAACAGUACCUACUUAAUAAAAGGCUCUGUGGACGGCAACCUGUACAAUCCUUCAUCCACAGCACAGCAGAUGAAGUCGACAGUAUCUGCAGUGAAGCUGGUGGAUAUUACUGGAAAGAGAAUCUGUGUGUCAGCAGAGCUAAGUUCACUGUGACUACAGUUAGAGGCAGAGACAAAGGGUGUAAAGACAUUACAGUGGAAACACUGAAUAACGAGCCUGUGGCUGUGGCCUGUGAUCUUGAUAAUGGAAGAUGUGUGCCUGUUCACUAUGAAGCCAUUAGAAAUAAAAGUGAUGUACAGAGACUCACUGAACCCUGUAAGAGAUGAAUAUCACUCCUGAGGCCUCAGCAUCCUGAGGAUUUUAGAUUUAAGUGAGUGAGAAACCUGUUUAAUUGUUGUUGUUUAAUUCUCUCAUUUAUAUUUCAUACAUAUCAAGCAAAAAAGUCUCUUCUUUCUGUUCUCAAUAAAAAGUUGUAAUCAGUGAGCAUAAA
Molecule: long non-coding RNA, 746 nt
Organism: Colossoma macropomum (tambaqui)
Lineage: Eukaryota; Metazoa; Chordata; Actinopteri; Characiformes; Serrasalmidae
Exons: 2
Source: RefSeq, a predicted model, not a curated record